Molecule: ribosomal RNA, 496 nt
Filed under: uncultured bacterium
Lineage: Bacteria
Description: partial 16S ribosomal RNA
Rfam family: Bacterial small subunit ribosomal RNA
Source: RNAcentral
AUGAACGCUGGCGGCGUGCCUAAUACCUGCAAGUCGAGCGAACAGACGAGGAGCUUGCUCCUCUGACGUUAGCGGCGGACGGGUGAGUAACACGUGGAUAACCUACCUAUAAGCCUGGGAUAACUUCGGGAAACCGGAGCUAAUACCGGAUAAUAUAUUGAACCGCAUGGUUCAAUAGUGAAAGACGGUUUUGCUGUCACUUAUAGAUGGAUCCGCGCCGCAUUAGCUAGUUGGUAAGGUAACGGCUUACCAAGGCAACGAUGCGUAGCCGACCUGAGAGGGUGAUCGGCCACACUGGAACUGAGACACGGUCCAGACUCCUAAGGGAGGCAGCAGUAGGGAAUCUUCCGCAAUGGGCGAAAGCUUGACGGAGCAACGCCGCGUGAGUGAUGAAGGUCUUCGGAUCGUAAAACUCUGUUAUUAGGGAAGAACAAAUGUGUAAGUAACUAUGCACGUCUUGACGGUACCUAAUCAGAAAGCCACGGCUAACUACGUG